CGCGGCCUAUCAGCUUGUUGGUGGGGUAACGGCCCACCAAGGCGACGACGGGUAGCUGGUCUGAGAGGACGGCCAGCCACACUGGGACUGAAACACGGCCCAGACUCUUACGGGAGGCAGCAGUGGGGAAUAUUGCGCUAAUGCGCGAAAGCGUGACGCAGCGACGCCGCGUGGGGGAUGAAGGCCCUCGGGUCGUAAACCCCUUUCGCCGGGGACGAAGCGAAAGUGUCGGUACCCGGAGAAGAAGUCCCGUCUAACUACGUGCCAGCAGCCGCGGUAACACGUAGGGGACGAGCGUUGUCCGGAUUCAUUGGGCGCAAAGCGCGCGUAGGCGACCUGGAAAGUCGGCUGUGAAACCCCAGGGCUCAACCCUGGGACCGCGUCCGAAACUUCCGGGCUGGAGGCAGGUAGGGGAGAUCGGAAUUCCUGGUGUAGCGGUGAAAUGCGCAGAUAUCAGGAGGAACACCGGUGGCGAAGGCGGAUCUCUGGGCCUUGCCUGACGGUGAGGCGUGAAAGCUAGGGGAGCGAACAGGAUUAGAUACCCUGGUAGUCCUAGCCGUAAACGUUGGGUGCUAGGUGUGGGCGGAUAUCGACCCCAUCCGUGCCGAAGCUAACGCAUUAAGCACCCCGCCUGGGGAGUACGG
RNAcentral lists this ribosomal RNA (644 nucleotides) under uncultured actinomycete. RNAcentral describes it as "bacterial SSU rRNA". It matches the Rfam family "Bacterial small subunit ribosomal RNA", at positions 232 to 885 of the family's 1533-position model. The record is from RNAcentral. Lineage: Bacteria; Bacillati; Actinomycetota; Actinomycetes; Actinomycetales.